RNAcentral lists this small RNA (84 nucleotides) under Halpernia humi. RNAcentral describes it as "Chryseobacterium humi Flavo-1 RNA". It matches the Rfam family "Flavo-1 RNA". Lineage: Bacteria; Pseudomonadati; Bacteroidota; Flavobacteriia; Flavobacteriales; Weeksellaceae. The record is from RNAcentral.
AACUAGCCCUGAUCGCAGUGGAAAUCCUUUUUUAUCGGCGCGCAAGCGACGAAAAAAAGAUUGAAACGGAGAGCAGGAAAAAGC